GUAAGCCUGUGAAGGUGGCCUGUGAGGGUUGCUGGAGGUAUCAGAAGUGCGAAUGCUGACAUAAGUAACGAUAAAGCGGGUGAAAAGCCCGCUCGCCGGAAGACCAAGGGUUCCUGUCCAACGUUAAUCGGGGCAGGGUGAGUCGACCCCUAAGGCGAGGCCGAAAGGCGUAGUCGAUGGGAAACGGGUUAAUAUUCCCGUACUUGGUGUUACUGCGAAGGGGGGACGGAGAAGGCUAUGUUGGCCGGGCGACGGUUGUCCCGGUUUAAGCGUGUAGGUGUGUGUUCCAGGUAAAUCCGGUUCACUUUAACACUGAGGCGUGAUGACGAGGCACUACGGUGCUGAAGCAACAAAUGCCCUGCUUCCAGGAAAAGCCUCUAAGCAUCAGGUAACAUCAAAUCGUACCCCAAACCGACACAGGUGGUCAGGUAGAGAAUACCAAGGCGCUUGAGAGAACUCGGGUGAAGGAACUAGGCAAAAUGGUGCCGUAACUUCGGGAGAAGGCACGCUGACACGUAGGUGAAGUGAUUUACUCAUGGAGCUGAAGUCAGUCGAAGAUACCAGCUGGCUGCAACUGUUUAUUAAAAACACAGCACUGUGCAAACACGAAAGUGGACGUAUACGGUGUGACGCCUGCCCGGUGCCGGAAGGUUAAUUGAUGGGGUCAGCGCAAGCGAAGCUCCUGAUCGAAGCCCCGGUAAACGGCGGCCGUAACUAUAACGGUCCUAAGGUAGCGAAAUUCCUUGUCGGGUAAGUUCCGACCUGCACGAAUGGCGUAAUGAUGGCCAGGCUGUCUCCACCCGAGACUCAGUGAAAUUGAACUCGCUGUGAAGAUGCAGUGUACCCGCGGCAAGACGGAAAGACCCCGUGAACCUUUACUAUAGCUUGACACUGAACAUUGAGCCUUGAUGUGUAGGAUAGGUGGGAGGCUUUGAAGUGUGGACGCCAGUCUGCAUGGAGCCGACCUUGAAAUACCACCCUUUAAUGUUUGAUGUUCUAACGUGGACCCGUAAUCCGGGUUGCGGACAGUGUCUGGUGGGUAGUUUGACUGGGGCGGUCUCCUCCUAAAGAGUAACGGAGGAGCACGAAGGUUGGCUAAUCCUGGUCGGACAUCAGGAGGUUAGUGCAAUGGCAUAAGCCAGCUUGACUGCGAGCGUGACGGCGCGAGCAGGUGCGAAAGCAGGUCAUAGUGAUCCGGUGGUUCUGAAUGGAAGGGCCAUCGCUCAACGGAUAAAAGGUACUCCGGGGAUAACAGGCUGAUACCGCCCAAGAGUUCAUAUCGACGGCGGUGUUUGGCACCUCGAUGUCGGCUCAUCACAUCCUGGGGCUGAAGUAGGUCCCAAGGGUAUGGCUGUUCGCCAUUUAAAGUGGUACGCGAGCUGGGUUUAGAACGUCGUGAGACAGUUCGGUCCCUAUCUGCCGUGGGCGCUGGAGAACUGAGGGGGGCUGCUCCUAGUACGAGAGGACCGGAGUGGACGCAUCACUGGUGUUCGGGUUGUCAUGCCAAUGGCACUGCCCGGUAGCUAAAUGCGGAAGAGAUAAGUGCUGAAAGCAUCUAAGCACGAAACUUGCCCCGA
This 1577-nucleotide ribosomal RNA is filed under the name Salmonella enterica. RNAcentral's name for it is "partial 23S ribosomal RNA". It matches the Rfam family "Bacterial large subunit ribosomal RNA", at positions 1243 to 2802 of the family's 2925-position model. The record is from RNAcentral. Lineage: Bacteria; Pseudomonadati; Pseudomonadota; Gammaproteobacteria; Enterobacterales; Enterobacteriaceae.